RNAcentral lists this long non-coding RNA (1142 nucleotides) under Elaeis guineensis (African oil palm). Its description in RNAcentral is "long non-coding RNA (EGUI_LNC021492)". Lineage: Eukaryota; Viridiplantae; Streptophyta; Magnoliopsida; Arecales; Arecaceae. The record is from RNAcentral.
UGAUAGACUUGUAUUGCUCCUGUACAAGAGAGAAAACAAAUGGCAGCACAUUAGAUCAUGAACUGAUUCUAAACAGAAUCUUUGAAGGGAAAAGAAAGGUGGGAGAUCAAUGGAAGUUGAUAAUAGACUUGUAUUCCUCCUGUACAAGAGAGAAGAAAAAUUGCAGCACGUUAGAUCAUGAACUGAUUCUAAACAGAAGCUUUGAAGGGAAAAGAAAGGUGGGAGAUCAAUGGAAGUUGGCCAUGCAUAAGGGUCCCAAUGUGUAGCCAUUUAGGAGCCUCCUCACCAUGUUCAGUCAGGAAGAGGAAGAGGGAAUUUGACUACAUUGUCACAUAUUGGAAGUCCAAAAUAAAAUAAAAUAUAAAUAAAUAAAUAAAAGAACGGAUCCACAUGGCAGCAGGAGAUUUGCCAGAUCACCUCAAUUGAUGAGGUGAAAUUCAGAGGCACAAAACAUUAUAAAGUUUAGAUCUCGAGUUAUCAGUUAUUAGAAAUAUAUAGAUUAAGAAGAAAUUUUUUUAUUUUGAAUAAAGGUCAAGACAGUCCUACAAGCACUAGGGACUGUUACAAAUAGCCGUCCUUCCAAUAUGGAGUUCCAUGACCCCCAAGAAUUUAUAGUUUGUGAUUUUAAAAACUUUUGGUUAUCUUUUAUUACAAAAAGAUCUAAAAGCUUAGAAUUAUGGGUUAGGAAUAUCCGUACAAGAGGACUCUAAUACCCAAAACAAAAAAAAAAAACCCUAAAGAAAGGGAAAGAAAAUCUGAAAUGUAUUUUAGGUCAUAUCAAACAGCAAGACAAAAUUGAUUAUCGUACUUGGAAGUAAAAAAAAAACUUUGACAUUCUUAAGAUUUGAAAAAUGUAUGACAUUAAAUACUCAAAAUAAGUUUGUCCUGAGUCCAAUAAGAUGUGCAAUCAGAAAUAUAAUAUAAAAUGCACAUUAUAUGUACACUAUGUUAUAAUACAUAUGCGGAAGUCUUUUUUCUUUCUUUCUUUUUUUUUUUUGCUAAAGGACUGAUCUCUCUUUUUAAUCUGAUGGUCUGUGAUGAAGCAUUUGUCUUAUUUGAUAGAAUAACUACAUUUACUCUAUACACAAAUUAAGAAAUUCUUGCCAUUCUGAAAACAGCCUCUACAACAGUAACCAACAAAC